CAGAGCCGCGGGAAUACGUAGGGUGCAAGCGUUAAUCGGAAUUACUGGGUGUAAAGCGUGCGCAGGCGGUUAUAUAAGACAGAUGUGAAAUCCCCGGGCUCAACCUGGGAACUGCAUUUGUGACUGUAUAGCUAGAGUACGGCAGAGGGGGAUGGAAUUCCGCGUGUAGCAGUGAAAUGCGUAGAUAUGCGGAGGAACACCGAUGGCGAAGGCAAUCCCCUGGGCCUGUACUGACGCUCAUGCACGAAAGCGUGGGGAGCAAACAGGAUUAGAUACCCGCGUAGUCCCUGUCUCUUAUACC
Molecule: ribosomal RNA, 301 nt
Filed under: uncultured bacterium
Lineage: Bacteria
Description: partial 16S ribosomal RNA
Rfam family: Bacterial small subunit ribosomal RNA
Source: RNAcentral